GACGAACGCUGGCGGCGUGCCUAAUACAUGCAAGUAGAACGCACAGUUUAUACCGUAGCUUGCUACACCAUAAACUGUGAGUUGCGAACGGGUGAGUAACGCGUAGGUAACCUGCCUGGUAGCGGGGGAUAACUAUUGGAAACGAUAGCUAAUACCGCAUAAUAUUGAUUAUUGCAUGAUAAUUGAUUGAAAGAUGCUAUUGCAUCACUACCAGAUGGACCUGCGUUGUAUUAGCUAGUAGGUGAGGUAACGGCUCACCUAGGCGACGAUACAUAGCCGACCUGAGAGGGUGAUCGGCCACACUGGGACUGAGACACGGCCCAGACUCCUACGGGAGGCAGCAGUAGGGAAUCUUCGGCAAUGGACGAAAGUCUGACCGAGCAACGCCGCGUGAGGGAAGAAGGGUUUCGGAUCGUAAAGCUCUGUUGUAAGAGAAGAACGGGUGUGAGAGUGGAAAGUUCACACUGUGACGGUAUCUUACCAGAAAGGGACGGCUAACUACGUG
This 505-nucleotide ribosomal RNA is filed under the name uncultured bacterium. Its description in RNAcentral is "partial 16S ribosomal RNA". It matches the Rfam family "Bacterial small subunit ribosomal RNA", at positions 28 to 507 of the family's 1533-position model. The record is from RNAcentral.